This 483-nucleotide ribosomal RNA is filed under the name uncultured bacterium. Its description in RNAcentral is "partial 16S ribosomal RNA". It matches the Rfam family "Bacterial small subunit ribosomal RNA", at positions 28 to 507 of the family's 1533-position model. The record is from RNAcentral.
GAUGAACGCUGGCGGCGUGCCUAACACAUGCAAGUCGAACGGAGUCGUUUUGGAAAUCUCUUCGGAGAUGGAAUUCUCGACUUAGUGGCGGACGGGUGAGUAACGCGUGAGCAAUCUGCCUUUAAGAGGGGGAUAACAGUCGGAAACGGCUGCUAAUACCGCAUAAAGCAUUAAAUUCGCAUGUUUUUGAUGCCAAAGGAGCAAUCCGCUUUUAGAUGAGCUCGCGUCUGAUUAGCUAGUUGGUGGGGUAACGGCCCACCAAGGCGACGAUCAGUAGCCGGACUGAGAGGUUGAACGGCCACAUUGGGACUGAGACACGGCCCAGACUCCUACGGGAGGCAGCAGUGGGGAAUAUUGCGCAAUGGGGGAAACCCUGACGCAGCAACGCCGCGUGAUUGAAGAAGGCCUUCGGGUUGUAAAGAUCUUUAAUCAGGGACGAAACAAAUGACGGUACCUGAAGAAUAAGCUCCGGCUAACUACGUG